AGCGAACGCUGGCGGCAGGCCUAACACAUGCAAGUCGAACGAACCUUUCGGGGUUAGUGGCGGACGGGUGAGGAACACGUGGGAACGUGCCUUUAGGCUCGGAAUAACUCAGGGAAACUUGUGCUAAUACCGAAUGUGCCCUUCGGGGGAAAGAUUUAUCGCCUUUAGAGCGGCCCGCGUCUGAUUAGCUAGUUGGUUGAGGUAAUGGCUCACCAAGGCGACGAUCAGUAGCGGGUCUGAGAGGAUGAUCAGCCACAUUGGGAGUGAGACACGGCCCAAACUCCUACGGGAGGGAGCAGUGGGGAAUCUUGCGCAAUGGGCGAAAGCCUGACGGAGCCAUGCCGCGUGAAUGAUGAAGGUCUUAGGAGUGUAAAAUUCUUUCAACGGGGACGAUAAUGACGGUACCCGGAGAAGAAGCCCCGGCUAACUUCGUG
RNAcentral lists this ribosomal RNA (434 nucleotides) under uncultured bacterium. Its description in RNAcentral is "partial 16S ribosomal RNA". It matches the Rfam family "Bacterial small subunit ribosomal RNA", at positions 29 to 507 of the family's 1533-position model. The record is from RNAcentral.